CCGAGUUGUAAUUUGCAGAGGAUGCUUCGGGUUCGGUUCCGGUCUAAGUCCUUGGAACAGGACGUCAUAGAGGGUGAGAAUCCCGUAUGUGACCGGCCGCCACGCCCGUGUGAAGCUCCUUCGACGAGUCGAGUUGUUUGGGAAUGCAGCUCAAAAUGGGUGGUAAAUUUCAUCUAAAGCUAAAUAUUGGCCAGAGACCGAUAGCGCACAAGUAGAGUGAUCGAAAGAUGAAAAGCACUUUGGAAAGAGAGUCAAACAGUACGUGAAAUUGUUGAAAGGGAAGCGCUUGCAACCAGACUUGCCCGCGGGUGAUCAGCCGGUAUUCUUACCGGUGCACUCACCCGCGGUCAGGCCAGCAUCGGUUCGGGCGGCUGGAUAAAGUCCGCUGGAAUGUAGCUCCUCUCGGGGAGUGUUAUAGCCAGCGGUGCCAUGCAGCCCGCCCGGACCGAGGACCGCGCUUCGGCUAGGAUGCUGGCGUAAUGGUUGUAAGCGACCCGUCUUGAAACACGGACCAAGGAGUCUAACAUCUAUGCGAGUGUUUGGGCGUCAAACCCAUGCGCGUAAUGAAAGUGAACGGAGGUGGGAACCCUCAAGGGUGCACCAUCGACCGAUCCUGAUGUCUUCGGAUGGAUUUGAGUAAGAGCAUAGCUGUUGGGACCCGAAAGAUGGUGAACUAUGCCUGAAUAGGGUGAAGCCAGAGGAAACUCUGGUGGA
RNAcentral lists this ribosomal RNA (714 nucleotides) under Acarospora organensis. RNAcentral's name for it is "Acarospora sp. EH-2021b partial large subunit ribosomal RNA". It matches the Rfam family "Eukaryotic large subunit ribosomal RNA", at positions 138 to 871 of the family's 3401-position model. The record is from RNAcentral. Lineage: Eukaryota; Fungi; Ascomycota; Lecanoromycetes; Acarosporales; Acarosporaceae.